Molecule: unclassified non-coding RNA, 307 nt
Filed under: Hevea brasiliensis (rubber tree)
Lineage: Eukaryota; Viridiplantae; Streptophyta; Magnoliopsida; Malpighiales; Euphorbiaceae
Source: RNAcentral
AGUGAACCACCCCACCUUCACCAAGCAUACAGCAAAUCCACCAAAUUCCGGGAUUCUUUUGCAGGGCCACAACAUGCCAACUUUCGUUUUCUAGUUGGUAAGAGUAUUGUAUCAGUAAGGUGUUGCAUCUCGGCGGCUGAAGAACAGGAAAUCUGGAUGAUUGACUUGGAGAUCUCUUAACCACUGAUCAGCUGCUCGCGAUAGGUUGUAUGCCAAUUGAUGCUCUACUCCACCAUUUCGCAUCCACAACGACGACCCGUUAAACUUGUAUGAAGCAAGUCCAAAAAUUCUUAAAGGAACCUUUUCG